RNAcentral lists this ribosomal RNA (496 nucleotides) under uncultured bacterium. RNAcentral's name for it is "partial 16S ribosomal RNA". It matches the Rfam family "Bacterial small subunit ribosomal RNA", at positions 28 to 506 of the family's 1533-position model. The record is from RNAcentral.
GAUGAACGCUGGCGGCGUGCCUAAUACAUGCAAGUCGAGCGAACAGACGAGGAGCUUGCUCCUCUGACGUUAGCGGUGGACGGGUGAGUAACACGUGGAUAACCUACCUAUAAGACUGGGAUAACUUCGGGAAACCGGAGCUAAUACCGGAUAACAUGUUGAACCGCAUGGUUCAACAGUGAAAGACGGUCUUGCUGUCACUUAUAGAUGGAUCCGCGCCGCAUUAGCUAGUUGGUAAGGUAACGGCUUACCAAGGCAACGAUGCGUAGCCGACCUGAGAGGGUGAUCGGCCACACUGGAACUGAGACACGGUCCAGACUCCUACGGGAGGCAGCAGUAGGGAAUCUUCCGCAGUGGGCGAAAGCCUGACGGAGCAACGCCGCGUGAGUGAAGAAGGUCUUCGGAUCGUAAAACUCUGUUAUUAGGGAAGAACAAAUGUGUAAGUAACUAUGCACGUCUUGACGGUACCUAAUCAGAAAGCCACGGCUAACUACGU